UACGAGUCCAUCUUCCUUACUAUUGCCAAUAGCAAUACAGUGUUCUGAUCAUCAUGCACUUUAGGAUGUGUUUCUUCUCUCAGUUUUCAUUCUUCUUGCAGGUAACUAUCAGCGGAGAGCUCUCUGGGUGCUACCAGUCAAGGCGUUAUGAUUUAUGUAUAGCACUUAGCAUCUUUUUUGAAGUAUGUUCAUAAUUUCUCCCAAGCCUGAGAGCUUGAGUUUUGAACUGUAAUUCUAGAGGGUAAAGUCUGCCUAACUCUCUGACAAAAUAAACCUCUGUAACGGAAGUUUGAUUAGCAGUGGCUCCAUGAUUGCCUCUAACCACAACUGGGCGCUAUUUGUUCCUGAAAAGCAAAUGUACUUGUUGCUUCUCAUCACAGCUGUAAUGUGGUAGCAGUGCAGAGUGAUCAGCUGAAUUGAGGUCUGGGGUCAUUCAUCAUCGAGACAAGAAUCAAAUAUUUGAGCUGCAAGACACUGCUCCAACUCAUCAGCCACAAGCAGCAAAGAAAAAAAAGAGGAAACAAGAAGGAUCUGCUGCUGAGAGGCAUCACAUCACGGGUAGCUGCAAGUUAUCAGCUCAGGUCCCACGUACAAGGUGCUGUAACAGGAACUGGCCGAUCUGCUGCAGAGCCUACAUGCUAACAGCCCACAGCCCUCCUGGCUCCAAGCUCUCUGAGUGGAGUGAUGAGGAAAGAGACAGCAUCCUUCUUCCUUUCUCCUGAUUUCUUUCUGGUGACUUUUGGGAGCCUGAAGCACUAUUUUUCAAAGAGAUCAGCAUGAUCAUACUCAUUCUGCCAAGUAAGCAACCAGACCAAUCCAGUUUCUGACUUCUGUCUGUUCCAAUUAUCCAAAUCCACUGACCACAGACCGGUGACUGCACUUUGCUAUCCACUGAACAGGGAGCAUCAUCCUGUACUUUAGCUCUGGUUGGUGUAGUUACAUAUGUUCUAUUGUUACACAAUACAGCCCAGCUCCCUAUUAUACUAGAAUUUUAACUGUGUAUAAUGUAUUACAUCAUGUAAUCUCAGUUUACGCCCUGCAUGAUUAUUUCCUCUAUUAAGGAUACAGUGAAGAUGCUUUCAUUGAGAAGUGUCGUAUUCAAACACAUUAUAUUUUCUCUCCAGUGAAAAUUUAAAACCCUGACUUUGUGUUUCUUGUUGGCACACCUGCACUUCCCUGUGGAAUAUUACUGUUGAUCAAGAAUUUUAACAAGAUUGAAUAAGAGGUUAGAGGUACAAAUGGCAAAGUGGCAGUAUUUUGUAAAACUGCUGUGAUUUUGCCAGUGUUUUCUUUAAGUGAAAAAAAGUCUGAUAAAAAUAUUUUUUAAAAAUAUAAUCUUUAAAACAUUUUCAGAGUGAUGAAUCUUGGUUUUUGUUUUGAAAAUGACUUUUCACCUAGAAUGUUUAACCUUGAAGAAGAUUGAAUUAUAUAUAUACACAUGUGUAUAAAUCUUCUACAACAGAUAAUUGUUGUACAUCAACUGAGCCAAAACAUUUUUCUCCUGAAUUUUCUUGCAUGGAAAAUUGUGGAAUGUCAGUGUUUCUUUGCAGACUGGAAAUACGAUUUUUAAAUACCAUUCAUGUACCCUAUAGGUCAUCUCAUUAAAGGUCCUUCGUCUUCUGUAUCAGUUUUGAGAUUCAAAAUUAGGGAAAUCCUUGAUAUGUCAAUUCAUAAUAGGUGUAGUUUAACAACUCCUUGAGAUAGUUGGGAACUCUGAGCUCAAGCUUCUCCAAAAUUCAAAGAUGUUCUAAACUUUGGUUACAUUUGGAACCUCUCUCCAAUAAAUAUUAAUGAGGACUCUUUCAGGAAUGGUAGACAUAAAGAGAUCUGUAAAAGGCAAUCCCAUUUUGGAUCAUCUCAGAUCAGAAAGAACAAUACAUCUUACUCAGCAUCUUAAUAUAUAUUUUUGCAAAUUAAAGAGUGAAUUAGGACAAGGUAACUAAUUGAAUCCCAAAAUUUAGUGAUCUUCUCCUCAUCCGUUAAUUAGUUUUUAAGGCCUUGAACACCUAGAAGAGCCAUCAUGGUUAUUUUUCAGAUGAGAUUAACUAAGACUGUAGCAGAAUUACUGCCAGUGAAUUUAGUCGUAUUCAUAACAACCAAUUCUGUUUAUAAAAUGUUGCAUGAACACUCCAUAUUUUGCUUUGUGUGAAUGCAUUUUCUUAGUACAACUAAACCUGACAGGAUUGCAAAGUUCAAAUCCAGAACUUCAGCGAGGGGUUCAAUCUGCUGUUCUGACCCCAGACACUCAUGCUCAAAUUUCUGCAGGUCUGCAGGUCUGGAAAUUAUGUACUGCUCUGAGCUCAUCUUCACAUUAUGUCAUCCUACAAACAUGGUGAAUGAAGUCCAAAUCAACCCUGAACCCAGAGAAACACCUUUAGCAGGAUGAAUUUUGAUAUUAUCUAGGAUGUACAGAGGCAUAAAGUACAUUUAAAUAAAAUGAACAGCAGUUCUUCAAGCAAAAAUCCUCUCUGAGAUUUGAUUCUAUCCGAAGAGCACAGGAAACCACAAAACUGGCAGCAAUCAACUGCAGUGUAAACACAUAGAAUUCAAAAAUAGAGCAACAAAACUUCAGAGAACAUUGUGUCUCUGCUGCUGAAAGCAGAGUUCUGUCAGGCACACGGCAUAUCAAGAGGGAGGUUAAAUACUUGGAAAAGUCUUUGGCAAAUAGAGCAUUUCAUCUGAAUACCACUAAGAAGUUAGGAAUCCUGAUAUUGAUUUCAGCGUAUAACAUAUUACUCAAAGUGGGAGAUGAGUCCAUUCAAGCUAGAAUAAUACAACUAUAACUAGAGGUCACUGGAAACACAGAUUCAGACUGCACUCUUUGUGAGAAUGAGAACUACGGGCACCUGAAUGAUUCCUCACACAUAAUACAUUCAUAUUUUAGCAAAGGGUUACCUUUUAAUCCUUUUUAUUGUUUCUGAAAGAUUUCAAGGUACCAUAAUAAAAGAAAAACUUAAACAACUAUAGAAGUAUGCUGGGCAGAACACCAUAUUUGUGCAUUCACAGGAAGCUGCAGACAAGCCUGCCUACCGCAGCAGCCCUUAGUGCUGUUUUUUCCAUACAGCUUGAUCACUUUGAAGUACAAACUGGGUGUUGUGUGGUUUUGCUAUUACUCGGGGACACAUCCUGACUUCAUUACAGUUUUAGCAAACAUAGGAUCUUAGUUGAGAAUCAGGCCACAACUGUUUAAAGAAGCUUGUCUGUCAAAAAGGAUCCUAUCCUUCCACUUUUUUAUCUUGCUAUUACUAUGUCAGCUAUCAUAACUGAAAUAUACUAAAGAAUUAAUUUUCAAUCUCUCCCUCUCACGUUUUCUCUUGAACAGUCUUGUUCCAGGUGGUCCACCCCAUUUCUCAAGUUGAUUGUCACUUUGUCGCUCUUCCCUGUCCCUGAACACAAGCUCCCAAGAAGUCAUUUUCUUGGAGUACAGUGUUAUCCUUUAUGAUUAAAGAAUAUCAGAAUAUGUUCUUCUAGACUUUUAUCUCGCCUAAAUUUGGCUGCCUA
This 3501-nucleotide long non-coding RNA is filed under the name Gallus gallus (chicken). The record is from RNAcentral. Lineage: Eukaryota; Metazoa; Chordata; Aves; Galliformes; Phasianidae.